This 253-nucleotide ribosomal RNA is filed under the name uncultured bacterium. RNAcentral's name for it is "partial 16S ribosomal RNA". It matches the Rfam family "Bacterial small subunit ribosomal RNA", at positions 524 to 776 of the family's 1533-position model. The record is from RNAcentral.
UACGGAGGGUGCAAGCGUUAUCCGGAUUCACUGGGUUUAAAGGGUGCGUAGGAGGGCAGGUAAGUCAGUGGUGAAAUCCCCGAGCUUAACUUGGGAACUGCCGUUGAUACUAUCUGUCUUGAAUACCGUGGAGGUGAGCGGAAUAUGUCAUGUAGCGGUGAACUGCUUAGAUAUGACAUAGAACACCAAUUGCGAAGGCAGCUCGCUACACGAAUAUUGACUCUGAGGCACGAAAGCGUGGGGAUCAAACAGG